RNAcentral lists this unclassified non-coding RNA (230 nucleotides) under uncultured fungus. Its description in RNAcentral is "sequence contains ITS1, 5.8S rRNA gene". The stretch from base 182 to 230 matches the Rfam family "5.8S ribosomal RNA", at positions 1 to 49 of the family's 154-position model. Lineage: Eukaryota; Fungi. The record is from RNAcentral.
UCUCCGUAGGUGAACCUGCGGAGGGAUCAUUACCGAGUGAGGGUUCCGGCCCGACCUCCAACCCUUUGUGAAUUCGACCCAGUUGCCUCGGGGGCGACCCUGCCGGCACUCGGUCGCCGGGCGCCCCCGAAGGUCUCCCAACACUGCAUCUUUGCGUCGGAGUUUAACACAAAUGAAACAAAACUUUCAACAACGGAUCUCUUGGUUCUGGCAUCGAUGAAGAACGCAGC